Molecule: long non-coding RNA, 9088 nt
Filed under: Vitis vinifera (wine grape)
Lineage: Eukaryota; Viridiplantae; Streptophyta; Magnoliopsida; Vitales; Vitaceae
Description: long non-coding RNA (VVIN_LNC001392)
Source: RNAcentral
UUAAAGAAAGUUGGUUAAACCUUAUGACACUUUUAUAUUAUUUUAUGAAUUUUUUUUAAUUUUUAUUUUAAUGGAAUUUUAACUUUAAUACAAGUUGGAGUAAUUCUUAUCUUAAAAACAAAUCAAAAUUACUUUAAUUUUAUAUAGAAAUAAACUUACAGUAAAUUUACCAUGAAAAUUUCUAAGUCAAAUACACCAUAAGUGCUAGUAUUUUAUAAUAUUUAGAAACAUGUUAAAUUAUUAUUAUUAUUUUUUAAAAUUAUUAGUUUUCAUAUUAGUUUUAGGGAAACUUGUGCUUUAGGUCUUUUAUUUGCAAAUAAUAUGGUUUUCAAAUCCUAAGAAUAGAAAAUAUGAGAAUCAACUGUUAAUGUGGAAAAUAAUAUCAAUUUUGUGCAAUCUCUAUUGACUCAUUUUUUUGUGCCUAGAUUGCCUUCACCCACUUCCAUGUCAACAACCACAUUAAUAGAUUGUUUUUUUUUUAUAAAACAAAUAAUUAUUAUGUUUAAAAUUUUGGGGAAACUCUCUAUCUCUCUUACUUCUUCACUACAUCCGAGACCCAUCUUCCUUAAACGUUUGCCUCUCAUUUUGCCCUAACCCCAAAUCUCAUAAAUUUCUCAUUUUCUUGCCUCAUUUGAAAUAUGAAGAUGACCGAUUCUCAAACAUCUCUGUCUCUCUCUUCACGUUUUGACCAGUCUAAUUGGAAACCCAUUUUCCAAAAACCUUCUUUCUUUCAUUUUGCCCUAACCCCACUAUCUCCCUCUUCAAGACCUAAUCACCCAAACUCGAUAUCUAUCUUCCCAAAACCUUCAAGCAAACUGAACUAGACCCAUAUCUUCUUUUUUCAUCAUCAAAGGUGAAAUUUUUUUAAGGCUUUUGGAAACCGAAUUGGAGCUUUCCCUUCUUCUGGGAUUAAUCAUUCGCAAGUGAGUUUUCCAUUUAAGGCUUUGUUUGGCUGUUGAAAUCUUGGGAUCAAAGGUCUUUUAUUUUCAGGUUUCUUGUAUUUUGCUUUAUUUUCUUGUAUAUAACAAUAAUCAUUGUAACAUAUGCUAGUAGUUACCCUUGGUGCAACUUUACAUUUCCAAAUACCCUAAAGUCCAAAGCUUUUAAUUCCCUUUUCAAAGCUUUCAACUUUGAAAGCAGACUAAACCAUAAGAACUAUGAAACUUAUAUCUCUAUCACCACUAAUUAAGCAUGUCUAUGAAUCCUUCCACUUUAAGUCACUUAUUCUCAAACCAAGAAGGGCUCCUCUCAUUCUCACCCCACCUCAUCUAAAUGAGGGAAAUGAUCAAUUGCAGCCAUGCUUUGCACCAAAUUAGAGAAGUGAUCCUCCCAAUCAUCCAUUACCAAAAAUUGAUCAUGCUGAUGAGAUCAUAAGAGUCUAUUCGGAACUCCCAGUUUACUUGCCUCUUAUCUCAGGAUCCUCCAUUACCCCCUGUCUUUCCAACAUCAAAUCAACUUGCAAACAAUUCCUUUGUAGAUAAAAUGUUUUUAAUAUUGCAAAAGGGGACUUAUCAUAAUGGUUGAAUCGAUUUAUUUGAUAUAAUCACUCAAAUUCAAGCUUAAAAUUGAUCAUAAUAAAAUGUUUUUAAUAUUGUUAAAAGGAGAUUAUAAUGGUUUUAUUUGAUAUCAUUACUAAAAUUCAAGCUUUCAAACAUGCUCUACAAAGAAGUUCUAAAAGACUACAAGAAAGAGUUUCCACUAAAGAAAAACAAUGAAACCAUUUCUACUAAAGACAAACAAUGAAACCACAGAUGCUUUGUGAAAUAUGUACCCGCACAAUCCAACAAACUUUAGAAAUUCACAAACACUACCUAGAAUUUUUGCUGACCAGCAAAAAAUUUAUGCAAUUUAAUUCUUAUUGUUAUUAUUAUUUUCAAUGUGAACAAAUAUGAUUGAAUUAUGAAGUAUUUGGCCAGAAGAGGAUCUUGCCUAAUUAUAGUCAUUAAACAACCAUUUAUACCAUAGCCUCUAGACUUUAAAAAGUUUAUAAAACUCAAGGGCUUCCACCCAAUUUCUAGAUAUCUCCAUAACAUUCUUCUGACUAUUAGAAAGCAAUUACCACUUUAAUUUUUCAUUUCAUGAGUGUUCAAUUCAGAAAAAGACCAGGAUCGAACUUGCGAUCAUGCAGUCGAAAAUCCACCUGUGCAUGAAACUAUUGCCUCACGAUUGCAAACUCAAGUUGGAGUCCAGUAACAACUCUAGGUUUGCUGAUGUGCUCCAUUUGAAAUAAAGGAACUAAAGAAUACUUUAUAAAGAUUAAUUACCUUCAUAUUUUAGGUUGGGGUUAAGGCAAAAUGUGAUAGAUUGAGAGGAAGAAAAUAUAUCUUGUUCAGGAAGCCAAUAUUUUGGAGUUCACCUUUCCAUUCGAGUCCACUCUGCUAUAGCAAAAUCAGAGUCACAACUAUGCCUCUUUAAGCUAUCCUUUAAUUGGAUGAAUUGCAGAUUUGGUUGCUGAGAAAGUGGAUAAGAAAGAAAAAUGCAUACUGUAGCUUGAGAUUAAGAGUUUGUUUUCUAAAAUGAGAGAAAGGGAAAGAGAAAAAAUGCAUAUUGUAGCUUGAGAUUAAGGGUUUGUUUUCUAAAAUGAGAGAAAGGGGAAGAGAAAUGUUCGACAACUUUGAGAUGACAAAUUUUUAGAUUUGGAAAAUUUGAGAUGAGUCUCAGGUUUUUUUUUUUUUUUUUUUGUCUUUGUCUUUGUUUUUUUUUUUUUUUUUUGUUUUUUUCCCAAAAACAACCUGUUAAUGUGGUUGUUGACAUAGAAGUGGGUGAGGGCAAAAUGGGCAUAGAAAAAAGAGUCAACACAAAGUGCACAAAACCCAUAUUAUUUUCCACAUUAAUGACUGAUUCUCAUAUUUCUUGUUCUUGGGAUUUGAAAACCAUAUUAUUUGCAAAUGGACCUCCCAAAGCACAGGUUUCCCUUAGUUUUAUGUCUCCAUCUACAUUUUACAUAUAAAUAGAUUAUUUUAUAAAAUUUGUUUUGUAGAUAUAUUAGUUAAUAAUUAUAUAAUUAAUGAUAUAGAAAACAUAUAAAAAUCAUAUUUAAAAAAGAUAAUUACAUAUUCCUCAACAAUCCAUCCCAAGAAUUCGAGGUUGAGUUGAAAACAUGUAGAGUCUUUGAUGUUAUUAUAAUCAUAUCCAACACAUAUGAUUAUUGUUUAUGAGAUAUUAUUAGAAAGUUUGUCUUAAAAUAAUUGAUUUAUUACCCACCUUUAGCAAAUGCCCAUUUUUGCGUCUUUCAAAAUUUUCAUUUUUUUUUUGUUUAAAAGAAGUAUUGUAAAGAAUGAUGAAAUAAGAAAUUUGUUGAGAAAGUGUGAGUAAAUAAUUUUACAUAAAAAGAGAUUUAAUACUUGAUAAAUAAAAUAAUAAAAUCAUGAUUUCUAGUUGUAUAGGGCCGGGUGGAUGGAGUGGCUAAGAUGUAAUUCUUGAAAUAGAGGAGACAACAUCAAUGUAUAAAAGUUUAACAGAGAAGGAAAGUGUGUUUGAAUGACUUUAUUUUCUUCAUUUAAAGUUUUGACGAUGAGUGUUUAUACAAGAUAAAUUUUCAAAUGAUAGGACUCCUAUUUACAUGGAGUUUGUGAUAUACUAUGAUUAUACAAAUUUAAAAUUCAAACAGAUUCAUGAGUUGAUAGGAGUCUGCUCAAUACGCCCCUUCAAAAUGGUGGGAGAUAGCACACCAAUCUUGACUCGAAGGGCCUAAACUCGUGCAGAAGAUGAGGGCUUUGUUAGAGCAUCGACAAGUUGAUCCGUGGUUGACAUAUGGGACACCUUGAGCUCACCUGAUUAAACCUUGUUUCAAACAAAAUGAAAAUCAAUCGCCGAUGUGUUUCAUGGAGAGUGAAACAUGGGAUUUGCACAAAGAUAUGUUGCACCCACGUUAUCACAAGAGAUAGGAGGUGGUGAUAAAUUUGAAACACUAAGUUUUGAGAGAAGAGAAUUAACCCAAAGAACCUUUGAGGCUGUAGAGGCCACGACGUGAUAUUUCGCUUCAGUGGAAGAGCGUGCUAUGAACUUUUGUUUCCUCGAUGACCAAUACACAAGAUUGUGACCAAGAAAAACAAUGGGAGCAUUGGUGGAGGAUCUGACAUAAGGAUUCCUUGCCCAUUCAACAUUCGAAUAUGCAUGUAGAUUGAUGGGCGAUUUCUUAUGCAAGAACAGACCAUGCACCAUUGUGCCGACUAAGUAUCUAAGCAAUCUUUUAACACAAGACCAAUGUGUUGAUGUUGGAUGGUGCAUAAAUUGAGAUAAUUUAUUCAUCAAGAAGGUGAUGUCAGGGCUAGUAAGAGAGAAGUAUUGAAGGCUUCCAACAAUUGACAUAUAUUUAGUGGGACCAGGAAAAGAGGUGUCAUCACACAGAUUUGGAACAUUGUUGAGGAACAUCAAUGAUUGAACUGGUUUGGUAGCCACCAUUUGUGUUUUCUUAAGAAGCUCUCGAAUGUACUUGAGAUAAAAAUAAUCCUUUGGAAGUAUGUAUCAUUUCAACACCAAGAAUAAAAGAUGAAGUCCUGAGAUCCUUAAUGGAGAAUUUGACUGCUAAUUGAGAGAUCACGCGAGCACGAAAAACAUUAUUGUUACUUGUUAAAAUAAGAUCAUCAAUAUAAAUAAGUAGGUAAACAAUGAGACCACUCUUUUUAAAAAUGAAGAGGGAUGUCUCGGUUUAGGAGUUGACGAAGGCUAUUGAGAGGAGAAAUUGGCAAAGUUCAUGAUACCAUGAUCGUGGAGCUUGUUUAAAGCCAUAAAAAGCCUUACAAAGUUGGCAAAUGUGAUGAUGUGUGUAUUCGUGAACCCAGGAGGUUGAAUCAUGUAAACAUCUUCAUGAAGUGUCCUAUGCUAGAAUGCAUUAUUAAUGUCCAAUUCAUGAGUUGAUAGGAGUCUGCUCAAUACAAUGUGGGAGUGUGAUUUCAAAAUUAGGGUAAUUUCGAAAUGGAUUUUGUAUUCACAAGUUGAAUUUCAAAAUUAUUUUGAAAUGGUCUUUUAACUUUAAGCAGUUGUGUUCAAAAGGUCAUAACUUCUUCGUUUCAAUUUUGAUUUACACAUUGUUUAAAACAUUGGACUCUUUACUUCCCGAGCUUCAAAACGAUAUAUAGUAUGCUCAAAAAUGACAUCAGGAUUGGUUCAAAUUUCAUCUUGAUAUUAGAGUACAUGUUGUGAUUAGAUUUUGAGUUCCAAAUUUCCAUGUAAACUUGAUUGCAUUUGCUUCAAACCUCCUUCAUUAUGGUUGCUUGCCCUCUAUCUCACUUUGCAACAUUUGUUACUAGUAUUUUAUGUCCAUGACUUACUCAUUUCAACCUUUCUUGGAUUCUUCAUGGUUCACAAAUUAUGGAUUCUUCAUGGUUCACAAAUUGAGUCUUUCAAUUAUGCAUGUUUAACUCCUAUUUCCUUGGUUGAUAAUGACUUUUACACUUAUCAUUUUCUUUUAUUCUUUAAACCUGAAUUUAGACUUACAAAAAAAAGUUAGAUCCAUAACUAGGGUCUUAGCAUCAAUUUGAGUUAAGUUGGAUGAUUUGAAAAUUUUAUAUUACAUAAAUCAUAUCAUACAUGUGCCAUUGGAGUGCACAUUUUGGCUCUAAUCAUGUUCCAACCCAUUGUUUUACUCUUGCAUGAAGUAUGUGGCCAUUGAUUUUAAUUUUAUUUGCGAUUAGGUUCAAAAUGGUGCUUUUGUGUUGCUCAUGUGUCAUCAGAAGAUCAACUAAUGGAUUCUCUAACAAAACUACUACAUCAUAGUCAUUUUUUUUUUUCUUAAGACCAAGAUUGAGAUCUCCAAUCGGAGCCAACUCCAUCUUGGGGGCAUGUUAGUGAAAGAUAAAAUUUAUCUUUAAUUUAAAUAUUAAUAUUUAUCAGUUAUUAGUUUUAAUUAGAGUAAAAGAUAGAGUUUAAAUUGGAGUAGGAGAUAAACUUGUGUUUGAACUAGAAUAGAAGAUAAAGUAUAAAGAUUUAUGUUUGAAUUAGAAUAAAAUAUAAAGUUUGAAUUAGAGUAGAAGAUAAACUUGUUCUUUAUUUGUAUAUAAAUAUUCAUCAAUUCUUGAGAAGAAGAUUAUUUCAUAGUUUUUCUAUCUUCUUUUUUCUUCAUACAUAUCUGCAAGAAAUUGAAGAUUUCAAGUAAAAUAUUUUCUGUUUUAAAUAGUGAAAAAAGCUAGAAAUUCACUUUGUUAUCUCUUGGGGUAAAUUGACAAGGUUUAACGUUAAGAAGGUGAAUUAUUUUUUCAGAAAAACUGAAGUAGCUAGGAUAUCUGGCCAGUUGUGAUCGAUAAAAAAGUUGUAAAAUCUCUCAUAUACUAAACAGGUUUUGGAUGUUGGUAUGGUAAAUCCAUCUGCAGUCAUUCGUCAUCUCAUCUAGUGAGAUGUUUGGGAGGUGGUGACCGCCGGAUUGGGUUUCAUUUGGUUAAAUCUGUCAGUGGGUUGGCUACUACCCGAGCCUCUUGCUUUGGGGGAGGUGGGUUCUAGAUAUAAUGUUCAAACCAUUUUAGUUAUCAUAUGCAUGACAUGUAAGCAUAAUCUCUUUAUCACUUCUUCAAUGGGAGUUCAUGGUUAGGAAUUGACUUCUUUUCUUCUGGGAUGCUUGGCAUGUAAUGGACAAAGUUACUUUUAUAUCGAUCGAAUUUCUAGUAUUAUAGUGAAGACUUACCCUUUUGACAUUUUAUAUCGAAUUAUAGAAGAUGAAAGGGACAUACAUGCAAUCGACUGACGCUUUAGUGAAUAUGCUGAAAAUAUGCUGAUGCUGUGGAGAUCGUAUGAGGACAGAGGAAAAAGAUAGAAAUGGAUAUAUAAUUAGACCUAGGUUUUUAUUAAAUGAGAUGGGGAACAUAGAGUGAGGGAAAAUCAAAAUUUUUGGCUGCAGUUCACAUUGGUGAUAUUUUGGAUUGACAAAGACUAACGACUUUUCUAUUUUUCUUUUCGGCCUGACUGGAUAGUUGGACAUGGACAAUACAGAAUCCACAGAAGGAUUGUUGGGACCGCUGAAAAUUAGCUAGAAGAAGCUGAGGAAGUAGUCUACGUAGUCAAAUACCAAACACAAAGAAAGAAAGAAAUGGAUAUCAUGGAUGCCUAGAGUUAUACUCCUAAUACCGUCACAGGUAUUUUUCUUUCCUCCUUUUUUUUUCUACGAUAAUUAGAGCAUUUCUCCUCCUCCUCCUCCUCCUCCCCCCACCCCACCACCAAAAAAUAAAAAAAUAAAUUAUUGCAAGUAACACUUCAAAUAUUAAUUUAUACAUUCUAAAGUAUAUAUUCAUGAAAUAACUUGAGUAUCAUACAUUAGUUCUCAAAAAAAAAAAAAAAAAAAAAAAAAAAUUACUGGAAGAGAAAAGUUUAAGAAAACAUAAAAAUAUUCAACUACUAUUUUAAAGAGAAAAUUUAAUUUUUACACUAUAAAUUUGAAGAGAACUUUUACAUGCAUCUUAUAUAAACUACCAUUUUUUGCUAAAAGGCUUAAAUUUGUCAAAAAUACCCCUUAGGUGCUUAACGUUCUGGUCAUAAUAUAAUUGGCAUCUUUUCUCAAACAUAAGGCCUGUGUGUGGGAACAAGAUUUAAUGUUAAUGAGCUUCGCCACCGACAUUUAGUUCCAGAAAUCAUUAUUUUAAUAGAGUGGGCUCAAUUUACAACUUUAAUUAAACUCUAACCAACUGCAUUGUGAAAUGAAUAUGUUUCUUUCGUGGUGAAUCCAAUGAGUUGGGAGUCAAACUUUGCUUCAUUGUGUAUAGAUGAAAUGUUAAGACUCCAUGUAACCUCAAACAUUUCCGCAAUNNNNNNNNNNNNNNNNNNNNNNNNNNNNNNNNNNNNNNNNNNNNNNNNNNNNNNNNNNNNNNNNNNNNNNNNNNNNNNNNNNNNNNNNNNNNNNNNNNNNUUCUUUCGUGGUGAAUCCAAUGAGUUGGAGUCAAACUUGCUUCAUUGUGUAUAGAUGAAAUGUUAAGACUCCAUGUAACUCAAACAUUUCCGCAAUGAGCGGGAGUUCUAAAUUUAAUAAUUGAAAUUGUCAGUGGAACCAGUGGACAAGAGUUGGUUUGUGGUUGACAAACUUAUCCGUUUGAUCUUUACUUGAACAGUUCCAGUGUGUGGAUGGGUACUGAUGAAGUGUGCGCAUUUAUUUUGAGAAGCCUGCUUGUUCGCAUAGAUUUUAACGACAUGAACAUUGUGGUAAGGUUAGAGAGUAAUGCGAAUGUAGGAGCUUAUAUUAGAAAUGACACAAACACGUAAAUAGAAGUAAUCUAUAUAUGAUAUUACUCAUGGACUACAAGCAAAGAAGUACAAUACAUGGAGUAAGUGAUGAAAUGAGCAUUCCUCACUACUACUGCUUGACUGAUGGAACAUGAUGCACGAGAUAGCAUAAGUAGUAGUAGGAAGCAGCUCUUAUUUGUGGCGUCGGUAUACAUCAUACUAGGUAGAUGGUUCAAUUGGCAUGGAUGGGUGGUGGAGCCUUGAAGUGCUUGUGAUGGGGAGCCCACGGCUUCUUCUCAGGAGUUGGUGGCUUCUUGUAUGGAGUUGAUGGAGGUGUUUCUACUGGAGGGUGGCCAGGGUAGUGACCCUGGGGUGGUGAAGGUUCUUUUGUCGGUGGUGGCCUCACUAUUAUUGGCGGUAGAGUUGGUGGCUUGGGCGUUGGCGGUGGUCUCACUACUCUUGGGGGUAGAGUUGGUGUCUUGUGUUUUGGUGGUGGAGGUGGCUUAACAGGAGUUGGUGGCUUGUAUUCUGGGGGUGGUUUCUCCACCGGAGGUGGCUUAUAAACUGGAGUUGGUGGCUUGUAUUCUGGGGGUGGCUUCUCCACUGGUGGUGGCCUGUAAACAGGGGUUGGUGGCUUAUAUUCUGGGGGAGGCUUCUCCACUGGAGGCGACUUAUAAACAGGGGUUGGUGGCUUGUAUUCCGGGGGUGGCUUCUCUACGGGAGGUGGCCUGUAAACAGGGGUUGGUGGCUUCUCCACCGGAGGUGGCUUAUAAACGGGGGUUGGUGGCUUGUAUUCUGGGGGUGGUUUCCCCAGUGGUGGAGACUUGUAAACAGGAAGAGGUGGUUUGUGCUCAUAUGGGGGUGGCUUGUGGUCAUUAGCAAGUGAGGGAGUGGUGAGGACCACCAAUCCAAGGAACAACACGAGUGAGCAAGCAGAAGACAU